Molecule: transfer RNA, 76 nt
Filed under: Candidatus Phytoplasma australiense
Lineage: Bacteria; Bacillati; Mycoplasmatota; Mollicutes; Acholeplasmatales; Acholeplasmataceae
Also listed under: 1 other name
Description: tRNA-Trp (CCA) (tRNA-Trp-CCA-2-1)
Rfam family: tRNA
About the family: Transfer RNA (tRNA) molecules are approximately 80 nucleotides in length. Their secondary structure includes four short double-helical elements and three loops (D, anti-codon, and T loops).
Source: RNAcentral
AGGGAUAUGAUGUCAACGGUAGCAUAACGGUCUCCAAAACCGCUCGUUCGGGUUCGAAUCCUGAAUAUCCCUGCCA